RNAcentral lists this unclassified non-coding RNA (240 nucleotides) under soil metagenome. RNAcentral's name for it is "partial contains 5.8S ribosomal RNA, internal transcribed spacer 2, and large subunit ribosomal RNA". The record is from RNAcentral.
AACUGAUACUACCUGCGGGAACCUGCGGAAGGAUCAUUACAUGGCGGAGAAGGUGGGCAACCUGGCCAACAUCCAGGUUGUGAUGCCUUCACGCUCUUCCACCCUUGUCUAUUUGCACCUUCUGUCGUUCCCUCGGCGGGUUUCGACCCGCCGGCGGCAACAUUGAAAAACCCUUUUUGCAGUUAGCAUUCAAUUCUUCUGAUCAAAUAUUAAAUCAUUACAACUUUCAACAACGGAUCU